UCGAAAGUUUUACAUCGGAGUAAAAUAUCGUCGACGUACUUGGUUAGUCCAUCUUUGUCUGGUAUUACGUGGUUAAUGAGUUUUACGAAAUACGCUGAAGAUAUUUUAAGUCCAUAUGGUAAACGUAUGAAUUGGUAGACACGCCCAUCGAUUUGGAAAGCGCAAUAUUUACGAAAAGAUUCUUCGAGCACGAUUUGCCAGAAACCAGCAACGAAAUCUAACGAACUGAAAAACUUGGCUUCUGGGUAUUCUGUGAGUAUCCUAUCUAGUAAUCCAGCUUCGUUGUAAUCUUCUUCUAGAAUUGGGUUUAGGUCCACAGGAUUUAGACAUAUUCGCAUGUCACCAUUUUUCUUGAUGUUAAUUACGAUAGGAUUAAUAAAUUUAGAAUUGGACGGUUCAAUUACGUUUGUUGCAAGCAUGAUUUGGAUUUCUUUCUUGAUGGCUUCCAUCAUCUUUUUAGAUGGAUUGUAUUUACCACUUCGAUAAACUAUCUUGUUUUGCGGAGUAUUGAACACCAAUUUAGAUUUCUUUCCUUUAUAACGACCUGGGAAUUUGCUAAAAAUGUCUUUGUAAGGUGAUAGGAUAUUGUAGGCGUAAUCAGCUUGUUGUUGAGUUAAUCGUUGUUCUGAUACUGCUUCGUCUAAGUCAGCUUUUAAUUUCUUAAUAAAUGUUUCAGGUCCAGUAUCUUUAACGCCAUCGGGUAAAGAGUAGAAUCUGCGAGCAGUGUCGGCUCGGUUCAAAAUGGCAUACAUUUCGUCGACAUAUUGCGAUCCCAUCGUAAUGUUGUUAAUUGCAAGUUUGUCUGCAUAUUCGUGGAAUUGUAGAAUUGGGAUACUUUCGAUGUCGUGUUCGGGGGUACGAUUAUAUAUUCCGAGGUGGUUACUACUUGUUUGUUCGCCAUCAUGCAUUGAACUGGUUCGUGUAAUUCUAAAAAAUCAAGCUCGCUGGAAUGUUCUCGUAUCAAUCUUAACGCUGUUUCUUCAGAUAUAACGUUAAGGACUGCCCCAGUGUCAAGUUGGGUUGGGAAGUCCGUUUCACCAAUUUGGAGAUUGACUACGCACGUUUGUGGCAUCAUCCGUCGCUGUAUUAAUUGGGAAACUACCGAAGGAGUUUCAUCGUUGCUCAGAGUUGAAUUUUUUAUUAAAUCAGGGUAUUCUCUCGCACUCAAGUAAUCUCGUAAAAAUAGUUGAUAGGCUCGAUAAACGAAUGAAGAUAGUAAAUCUUUCUUGUUCACGGUGUAAUAAUCAAAUUUGGUUGUAUGCCUACUGAGUGCUACUAUUGCAUGGGGCAAGCUAUCAUAGAUCGAUAAGUGUUCUUUCUGCAGUCUUACUACUAUUAUAUGAUCAUUUUGUUUGCCUUGAAACUCGUGAAUCGUGUUCACGCAAAACUUUUCUUUUUCCAGCGCAGCUUUCUCCUGCUGUGUGUACACUAAGUACUGAGCUCCUGCUAUUCGCGGUAAUUGAUCGAGGUUUACGAAAUCGUGCAGUGACAUUUCAGAAUGUACUUUUGACGUGGUAGUCAUCCCUCUGUCAUACAUAUCGGAUAAUACUGCACAGGUGGUUAACGUGCAACGAUGUGAUACAGUUAAGUAUUCAAUUUUAUCAAUUAAUUGUUGAUGUACGUUUUGGUAUAACGUAUCACGUAAUGGCGAUCUGUUUAUGUACUGGAUUUGAUGUCCAUCUCCGAUGAGUAUCACUUCUUUUACUUUCGAUUUUGCAAUAGCUAAAAUAAUUUCACCGAAAUGUACCAACAUGGCUUCGUCGAUGAUAAGUCGUUUAUAUUGUUGAUCAUUACUAUGCAUUAAGUACGAAUCGAUGGUGCGGUAAUUUUUAACUACAUCUUGAUUUUCUAUGUCUAGGUUGCGUAAUUUACAUAAACGAGUACGAAAAUCUUUACAUCCUUCCUUCGUUGGAAAUAAUACCAAAUCUGUUCCAUCAGUGUUUACGUGUUUGAGUAAGUAUGUGGUUUUUCCACAUCCAGCCACACCUUGGACCAUUUUGGUUGAUGGCAUUACGAAAUCAUCGAAUGAAAUGUUUUUG
Planococcus citri (citrus mealybug) is the source of this 2039-nucleotide long non-coding RNA. RefSeq lists it as uncharacterized. The transcript is spliced from 3 exons. The record is from RefSeq and is a predicted model, not a curated record. NCBI's taxonomy places the organism in Eukaryota, Metazoa, Arthropoda, Insecta, Hemiptera, Pseudococcidae.